AGCUCACGUAAGUGGAAUCUUAGGGUAUUUGAGUUUCUGUGACGUGGUUAGUUCACUUAGCAGCAAGUCCAGAACGAUCUUCUUGUCUAAGCCUGGACAACACCACACUGUACAUAGAUGUUCAAUAUUCUUCAUCCAUCCUCUGUCUGUGGAUGUGCGGGCUGCUUCUACCUCUUGACUCUUGAGAAUUACACAGCAAUGUAUGGGGAUGUUCAUAAGUUGCUUCCAAUUCCUAUGGAUAUAAAACCUGAGCUGAGUUUGUGCAAUCACAUGGUGAGACAAGCUGAGCGUCAUCGUCAGGAAGAAGGCAGCUGACGGUCCACUUCCAGUGUGACUCUUUCAUCUAGAUGAUACUUCCAGAUUCUUUGUUCAUCAUCUGCUGAAAAGCACGUGUGACCCAAGCCAGUGCGGUCCCCAGAAACCCAUCGUGAAUUCCAUAUUGUCUGACAGAACGUCUUACACGUGGACUCUCAGACUCAGUAUAUUCAAGC
Molecule: long non-coding RNA, 491 nt
Organism: Hyaena hyaena (striped hyena)
Lineage: Eukaryota; Metazoa; Chordata; Mammalia; Carnivora; Hyaenidae
Exons: 3
Source: RefSeq, a predicted model, not a curated record